CAUCUUCCUCGGGAUCCUCGAUCCAAUCUAUCCACUCCACCCGGCCGACCUAACCCACCUUCUCGAUUUGCAUCCCCGACCAACCACUGCAGUCCCCACGCGCCUGUGGAUCUCCUCUACCUCGCCUAUGCUCGCCGGGGAGCAGAUCACCGCGACACCUGAUCUUCUGCGCCUCCCCUCGUCCAGGAGCAUCUGCUCCUCUGCCCGAGCACCCCUACCUCGGCCUUGUGACCCCGCGACUCCCUCCUGCAGCCAGAGCAAGCCGUUAGGAGGCGGGAUCCCAUGCUGCAAGGAGCUCCUCGCCGCCCGGAUUUUCCCCAGGGACCGAAGACAUGGCCGCCCGACCUGAAGCUGCCUCCAGCGCUUGCGUUGACCCAGCCACGUGCCGCCCGUAGCUCCUCGACGCCGGCCGGAUCCGUCGUCCGGGAGAUCCGCCUUCCCGCCGCCCUCUCGUCCGCCUCCAGCCGUCCCUGUCGCCAAGCGUCGCCGGCGAUCUUUCCUGCUUCGCGCUGAGAGCCGCGCCCCUGUUUUGCCCGAAGGGAACAAGUAGGACGACGAGCGCGUUGACCAGUCGUUCGCUGCUUCCUGAUCAAGCGUCUGGGCCAACCUCGCUUUGUGCCUCAUCGCGCCCUGCCCGCGGCCCAGCAAGUUGAUCCGGCCCAACCGCUCCCCUCCACCGUGGCCUGCCAGCUGCAGCCCACAGGCAGAGGCCUAGAUCUGCCGCGCCCCUGUAGGCCCAAUGUGAGCAGCGCUCCAGAUUCGGCCCAUCUCUAUAUUUUUUCUGCCUGAUCGUUUUUUCCUUUUAUCUUGUGAAUGCCAAAUUUGCAGAAAAACCAUUGCAUUUCA
Molecule: long non-coding RNA, 846 nt
Organism: Triticum dicoccoides
Lineage: Eukaryota; Viridiplantae; Streptophyta; Magnoliopsida; Poales; Poaceae
Exons: 2
Source: RefSeq, a predicted model, not a curated record